CAAUAGCGUAUAUUUAAGUUGCUGCAGUUAAAAAGCUCGUAGUUGGAUUUCGGGUGGGAAUGGCCGGUCCGCCGUUUCGGUGUGCACUUGCUACGCCCACCUUGCUGCCGGGGACGUGCUCUUGAGUUCACGCUCGGGACACGGAGUCGGCGAGGUUACUUUGAGUAAAUUAGAGUGUUCAAAGCAGGCCUACGCUCUGAAUACAUUAGCAUUGAAUAACACGAUAGGACUCUGGCCUAUCUUGUUGGUCUGUAGGACCGGAGUAAUGAUUAAGAGGGACAGUCGGGGGCAUUCGUAUUUCAUUGUCAGAGGUGAAAUUCUUGGAUUUAUGAAAGACGAACUACUGCGAAAGCAUUUGCCAAGGAUGUUUUCAUUAA
Molecule: ribosomal RNA, 377 nt
Filed under: uncultured eukaryote
Lineage: Eukaryota
Description: partial 18S ribosomal RNA
Rfam family: Eukaryotic small subunit ribosomal RNA
Source: RNAcentral